GGUCACUCUAGGCCCCGCAGCACUGUGCUGGAUGUUGCAGCUGCCUAGGAGUGAUUUC
RNAcentral lists this microRNA precursor (58 nucleotides) under Bos taurus (domestic cattle). RNAcentral describes it as "Bta-Mir-1301_pre stem-loop". Lineage: Eukaryota; Metazoa; Chordata; Mammalia; Artiodactyla; Bovidae. The record is from RNAcentral.